Non-coding RNA from Ictidomys tridecemlineatus (thirteen-lined ground squirrel), 72 nucleotides. The record is from Rfam. Lineage: Eukaryota; Metazoa; Chordata; Mammalia; Rodentia; Sciuridae.
GGAGGUGUAGUUCAGAGGUAGAAUGCCUGCUUAGCAUGCAUGAGACUCUGGGUUUGAGCCCCAGCACUUCCU